Molecule: long non-coding RNA, 307 nt
Filed under: Setaria viridis
Lineage: Eukaryota; Viridiplantae; Streptophyta; Magnoliopsida; Poales; Poaceae
Description: long non-coding RNA (SVIR_LNC006314)
Source: RNAcentral
AAAAGGUGUGGGACUAUAAAUAAUAAUAGAAUUGUUGAUACUUGUAAAAUAUAAGGUUGUUAAAAAAACAGAAAUUAAAUUGUUCCUGUACCGAAACGAGCGAGGGAGCGGUAACAACUUAUCCUUACCAAUUUCCAAAGUGGUUUCCGUACUGAUACGCUGCUACGUUCGAAAAUAAAAUUUGUAGCGGCAAAUGCAACUACAGCAUCUAAAUGGUGGCCGUGAAACAUAACAAACACACUCGAGCUUACGAACGUACACACAACAUAUUACAAUUUCGUACAUACAAAUUACAACAUGAACGUAC